UGGAAUUCUGAAUUCAAACCUGGCCUCCCAGCUCUUAUGAAAGUAUAUAUGUCAAGGAAAUUCUGAGCACAUGAGGUCAACCGUGUCUGGGAGAGAAGGAAUGUGUGGCGUGGAGUGGCCAGCGUCCCCUCCUCCAGGGAGGCUGGGAGGAUCCGGCUGCGGGCACAUGUGUUUGCUGAGUCGGCCUCCUCAAGAGUGGAGAAUGGGGCAUUCGCAAGAGGUUUUGAGCUGAUUCUUCUUGACUUUCUGGUCACUAGGAGUGUCUACUCUGCCGUGGGGGCUGGGCCCCUCCUGACUCAGAGCGGGCCCCUCAGCCUGAAGGAGCCCGGGGAAGACCUGCUCCAGCUUGGCGGAGUCGUGGUGCCCUGGGGAGGCAGAGACUCGGCUGCUGGCCGCGUUCCGAGCAGCUGGAAAGAAUCCUCCCCGUCUUGGAGAGAAGCCUCUACUGGACCCGAACCAGCGAAGGCAGGCCCAGGCGUCUGGGGAAAAGCCACCAGUGGGGCCAGCCCUGCUCCCUGCAGGGGAGCUGCCGUGUCCGUCGCAGAGGAACUUGGCUUCCAGUCCGGUGAUGCAGGGAUUCUGGGGGAUGUGCCACUGCUUUUCCUUUGGGGGCUGAGGAGCCCACCUAGAGAAGGUGGCCGAAUUCCAGCCUCGGCCUGCUAGAGGUUUGGGGGUCAGCGGGCAGCUGCUCGGAAGUAGGAGCCGUGCUCCCGGGGCCCCUGGGGAUAAGGCUUUGUAACGCGGAAGUGACUACCUUGCCAUUGCUGGGGAGGCCGGCUUAGGUGGGAGAAUUGCAAAUUUAGCUACAAGCUUUUUCUCUAGUACUUGUCACCCUCAAAAGCACCUUCCCCUUCUCCUCCCUUCAUGUUCAGCGACAUUUACAGAGGCUGUGUUAGUUUCCCGGGGCCGCUGUAACAAAUCGCCACAAGCUGGGUGACGUCCGACAGCAGAACUUUAUUCUCUCACAGUUGUGGAGGCCAGAAGUCGGAAACCAAGGUGUGGGCAGGGCUGUGCCCCCUGGGAAGGCUCUGGGCGGGGACCCUUUCUCGCCUCUUCUGUCUUCUGGCGGCUCCGCGUGCUCCUUGGCUUUUGUCUCCAUCGGUUUGUUCCCUGCCUCUGUCUUCAGAUGGCCCUCUCCUCUUCUCAUUUGUCUGUCUCUCCUCUUUGUGUCUCUUAUAAGGACACUUGUCACUGGAUUUAGGACCCACCUGGAAAACCAAGAAUGAUUUCAUCGUGACAUCCUUAACCUAAAUACAUCUGCAAAACAUUUUUUUCCAAAUAAGGUCACAUUCACAGGUUCUAGGAAUUAGAACAGGAACAUACAUUUUGGGGACCACCAUUCAACCCACUGCAGAGGGUUUCUGUAAACCAGGCCCCAGGUGAGUCCUUAGAUGGUCAAGUGCAGAGAGCACUUGACUGCGAGGCAAGCCUGCCAGGUCCCACUCCUGCCUGCAAAGGUGGCCUCCCCGGGCCUUAGUCCGCCUCAUCCACAGGAUGGCUGAGCGAGCUGGAGGGCUCUUCCCUCUGGCACCUACGUCCCAGUCCAGACCCUGUCAGUCCGAUACGUGGGAGGGACUUUGGUCUACUCUGAUUUUACAACAGAAUACAUAUAUACACACACAUACGUAUAUUUUUAUUGUAGUAAAAUAUACAUAACAUAAAAUUUACCAUUUUACCCAUUUUUAAAUGGCGUUAAGUAUACUCUCACUGUUGCGCAGCCAUCAGAAAGGUGAAGCAGGAAGGCUCAUGCCCGGCCCUGGCCUCAGAGCGUCUUUCACGAGCAAAGCGUCUUACAGGAAAUGUCUGCACCACACGGUCCACCAUUCACACUUCUUUACGGAGCUCUGAGAAGCAGGACCCAAGAAGGGGAGGCAGACAGGACUGAGAACAGGGAGAGCCCAAAGCAAUAGCCCAGGACCAGUGUGACCCAGUGACCCCAAAGAGGAUGGCCACCCCUGCUCCCACACUGGAGACUCUACCCUGUCGUGUCACCAUGUCGGCCACUUCCUGCCUUCCAGGCACUCUUUUUCCCUCUACACCCAUAGUUCUCAAAGUCUGGCCCCUGGACCAGCAGCAUCAGCGUUUCCUGGGAACUUGUCAGAAAUGCACACUCUCAGUCUCCUCUCCAGAUGCACUGGAGCAGACUCUGGGGGUGGGGCUCAGCAUCUGUGUUUCAACAGGCCAGGUUGAUUCUGAUCCACGCUAAAGUGGGAGAACGCUGCUCUGGAUUUUCAGAGAAAUCCUGCUUUGGAAGAACUUACUACCUCCUCUGCAGAGCCACCAUUUUUAUUACUAGAAGCUUCAGGAAUAAUUAAAACAAGGAAGCUGACAGAUUCAGUAAGAGCCUGUGAGUCAAAGAUUGCAAAUGGGCUGCCCGAGGGCACAUCUUAUUCUUGGAUUUGUUUGGCCUGCACAUAUUUUAAAAAAUUUAAUUAGUUGCUAGCGUUAACGAAGUGGGAAAUUUCACAUAGAAAUCCAGAUUUCAAUAUUUCUUGAAAAAGUUGGUGUGUCUGGCACUCCUGAUACACCCUGUUCCCACGUGACAGUGGACAGGAGCAGAGCACAGCCACUGUGUUUCAAUGAGGCAAAG
This 2590-nucleotide long non-coding RNA is filed under the name Equus caballus (horse). RNAcentral's name for it is "lncRNA (ENSECAG00000047732.1)". Lineage: Eukaryota; Metazoa; Chordata; Mammalia; Perissodactyla; Equidae. The record is from RNAcentral.